Molecule: ribosomal RNA, 230 nt
Filed under: uncultured bacterium
Lineage: Bacteria
Description: partial 16S ribosomal RNA
Rfam family: Bacterial small subunit ribosomal RNA
Source: RNAcentral
UACGAAGGGUGCAAGCGUUAGUCGGAAUUACUGGGCGUAAAGCGUGCGUAGGCGGUCUCUUAAGUCCGUUGUGAAAGCCCUGGGCUCAACCUGGGAACUGCAUUUGAUACUCUGGAGCUUGAGUACGGGAGAGGAUAGUGGAAUUCCCAGUGUAGAGGUGAAAUUCGUAGAUAUUGGGAAGAACACCGGUGGCGAAGGCGGCUAUCUGGACCGUAACUGACGCUGAGGCG